CAGCAGCCGCGGUAAAACGUAGGGUGCGAGCGUUACUCGGAAUUACUGGGCGUAAAGCGUGCGUAGGUGGUGGUUUAAGUCCGUUGUGAAAGCCCUGGGCUCAACCUGGGAAUUGCAGUGGAUACUGGGUCACUAGAGUGUGGUAGAGGAUAGUGGAAUUUCCGGUGUAGCAGUGAAAUGCGUAGAGAUCGGAAGGAACAUCUGUGGCGAAGGCGACUAUCUGGGCCAACACUGACACUGAGGCACGAAAGCGUGGGGAGCAAACAGGAUUAGAUACCCGUGUAGUCCCUGUCUCUUAUAC
This 301-nucleotide ribosomal RNA is filed under the name uncultured bacterium. Its description in RNAcentral is "partial 16S ribosomal RNA". It matches the Rfam family "Bacterial small subunit ribosomal RNA", at positions 509 to 807 of the family's 1533-position model. The record is from RNAcentral.